AUACGUAGGUGGCAAGCGUUGUCCGGAUUUACUGGGUGUAAAGGGCGUGCAGCCGGGGAAGCAAGUCAGGUGUGAAAUGCAGAGGCUUAACCUCUGAAUUGCAUUUGAAACUGUUUUUCUUGAGUACUGGAGGGGCAAUCGGAAUUCCUAGUGUAGCGGUGAAAUGCGUAGAUAUUAGGAGGAACACCAGUGGCGAAGGCGGAUUGCUGGACAGCAACUGACGGUGAGGCGCGAAAGUGUGGGGAGCAAACAGGAUUAGAUACCCUGGUAGUCCACACUGUAAACGAUGAAUACUAGGUGUGGGGGGACUGACCCCUUCCGUGCCGCAGUUAACACAAUAAGUAAUCCACCUGGGGAGUACGGCCGCAAGGUUGAAACUCAAAUGAAUUGACGGGG
RNAcentral lists this ribosomal RNA (396 nucleotides) under uncultured bacterium. RNAcentral's name for it is "partial 16S ribosomal RNA". It matches the Rfam family "Bacterial small subunit ribosomal RNA", at positions 523 to 918 of the family's 1533-position model. The record is from RNAcentral.